RNA transcript from Rhincodon typus (whale shark), 6046 nucleotides. It is a transcript of the gene named zinc finger, CCHC domain containing 8, with no coding region annotated. Lineage: Eukaryota; Metazoa; Chordata; Chondrichthyes; Orectolobiformes; Rhincodontidae. The record is from RefSeq and is a predicted model, not a curated record. The transcript is spliced from 16 exons.
CACGUCACUCACUGCCCAAUGACAAGAUGGCCGCCGAGAGGGUGGAUUUGGAUUUUGGGGACCGCGAGUUGUUUGAGGAGUUUGACGAUUCAAAACCUUCUCACAUCCGCUUUAAUGACUUGGAAGAUGCGAGCGAAGCAGAGGCAAUGAGGGAGAAGCUACUGGAAUUCGAGGAGAGAAUAGGUUACCUGAAGGCGGAGAAUGCGGAACUGAAGAGGAAGUUGAACUUAUUGACCCAGCCAAGUAAAAUAGUUGUGAGUGACUCCAAAACAGAUGGCCCAAUGAUUCAGAUCUUGUUUAUGAACAACAAUAUUUCAAAACAGUUUCAUCAAGAAAUUGAAGACUUCAUUGCAAGUUUAGUUGAAAGAUAUGAAAAAGAAAUGCAAAGUGACCCUGAAAAAACAUCCUUUAAUGUGAAACCUCAGCCAUCUAGUGUGCUGCUAGAGGAGCACCUGAAAGUGAAAACAUCAAAUGCAGUAAAGAAGAUCAAAGAAGCAUUUCAUGUUGUGGGAAGCGUUCAGUACUUCACCAACUUUUGCCUUGACAAACUCGGACAGCCAUUGCUAAAUGAGAAUCCACAGCUGACAAAUGGAUGGGAAAUACCCAAAUAUCAGCAAGUCUUUGCCCAAGUUGUAUCCUUAGAGGGUCAAGAAGUGGAAUUGAAAGCGAAGAGGCCAAAACCUUGUUGUUUCAACUGUGGUUCAACAGAACAUCAGUUAAAGGAUUGUCCAAAGCCACGUGAUCUUGCUCGUAUUAGUGAAAAGAGAAAAGAGUUCAUGACAAUGGCUAGUGAUUCACCUCAUUCAGGUUCUCAACAGCGGUAUCAUGCAGAGAGGUUUGAAAAGUUCAAGCCAGGUGUUCUCAGUGUAGAACUUAAAGAAGCUCUGGGGAUGACUGAUGAAACUCUGCCACCAUUUAUAUAUCGGAUGCGUCAAUUGGGUUAUCCACCAGGAUGGCUGCUGGAGACCCAACAAGAGAAUUCUGGGCUUGCUUUAUAUGAUGGCAAAGAUUCUAGUGACAGUGAAACAGAACAUGACAAACAACAUCUAAAAUCUCACCUUCCAUCCUAUGAUACAAGUAAACUCAUUGAUUAUGCAGGAUUCAAUGCUGUUAUUCCAAAAGGGAUUCAGGAUGAAUGGAGGCAAUAUGGUUCAAUUCCAAUGCAAGCUCAUCAUCUAAAGGAAUAUUUUGCACAUCAAUUGGCUGCUGAUUAUCCCAUGACUAAACACAGUGCAAACAAAAGGGGUUCAGAUGCUGACUCAAGCCUGAGAAGUGUAAAGAAGCGCAAGUCUGAAGAAAUAGAUAUAAAUUCUUUUGACAUGGAGAUAGAUUCAGGUUCAGACACGCCACCAAGGUCGUUUCAACCUUUACCGCCCUUGCCUUCCGAUUGCCCAUUAACAUUGUCAUCAUCACCGCCACCUCUGCCAAAAGGAACGCCACCUUCUACACCACCGAUGUUUAUCCCACCUGCACCACCUACUCCAACACCACCUCCACUUCCAAAAGAUACUCCCCCCUCUACGCCUUCAAAUUGUUCUCCAGUAGGAUAUUCUUUGGAAGAAGGAAGUGCUCGAGCUUCAGCUGCUGAGAAUGCUGAUAAAACUUUGGAUGCUGAUGUCUUGUCUUUAGAAGAGUUGGAAGAACAACAGCGGUUAAUAUGGGCUGAAUUGGAACAGACUGAAAGUGCUAAUAGUGAAACAGAAGGUCCUUGUGAUUCACCAUUAAUCAAGAAUUCUACAAAUUCCUCACCAGCGAUGCAUGCACCUGACAACCAUAUGGAAGUUGAAUCCAUUGACAAAAUGGGGACAGUUGAAAGUAAUAUGGGGAGUCCAAUUGCUGAAGCAUCUUCAGUUGAUUUCAGGGAUGAGCAGACCACUUCAUAUAGGGAAGAGAGUACUCCAUCUGAAAACUCCGGAAUGGAAAUAGAAGGCAGUAGAACCAUUCAAGAUUCUACCUCAACACCAGCAACAUCCGUUGAAGAAAACCAAGUGCGUUCAGAGAAAAUAGAAGGAUCCAUCACUAGUGAUGCUGUGUCAGAAGGAAGAGAGGAGAAUAGGAUUUCUUCUGUUCCUGAUAUGAGUAAAUUUGCCACUGGAAUUACACCUUUUGAAUAUGACAAUCUUUCUGAGGCAACUGGAACUUAUCUCAAACUCAGGAGUUUACUGAAGAAUUCUCCAAGAAACAAAAUGAAAAAGAAAUAACUAUGAAUAUCAAAGCAGUACUGAACCAUUCAGAUCCAAGGCUUCCACGUCAUAUGACCAUGUACUAUAUUGGAGUUUCUUUUUCUUUUAAGACCUCAUUUCAACAGUAUGUGGCAGAGCUGAUAUUUUACUGAAACAGUCAAAGUCAAAAAAUUUCCCCCCAAUGCUAUUUUAAUAUGUAGGGUUGAUAAUGAGUGAAAACAUGUCUGGUGUUACAGAAAGAAGAUUUUCUUGUGUGUUCUUUUUCAAAGAAGUACUGUUGAAAUCUGCCCUUCAGGCAUAGUCUCAGAAUUUUUCUGAUGUGGACUUGUGUACAGUAGGUUUUUAGUCAUUCUUACACAUUAGAUGUUUUUUGUUUAUAUAACUGAAUGUGUUUGUUUUUUGAUAAUACCAAUGUAAUUUUAUAAAAUAUACUGCCAGGGAUUUUAAUGUACAGUAUUUUAAAUUCUAAUUACAGAUCAUUGAAAAUGUCAGGGAUUACCAGGGCUGUUUUCAGACUCCAGAAGUUGGUUCCUCCUCUCUUUUACAGCAGAAAAGACUAACUAUUUGGUGAGCAUCUGAAUGCCGGACGAAAGGCACCAUCAUCAACAAGGGCGUAACAGAGGAAACCAGGAAGUGUCAAUCUGUUUCACUGCUUACCAUGGACUACAAAGUUUUAUCCAAGGACCUCGCCAAUCAGGUGAAGUCUGCUCUGGAUCAGACCUGCACUUUGCCCAGCAGAAGUCUGGUAGCUUUGUGCUUUUUAAAUUUAGUUUUCCAUGUGCUUGCUGGGAAGUGGCAUCAACUUUAGCAGAUUAGGCUAAGAGCAGGCCUUUGACAAGACAUCAUUGUAUUUUCAGUGUAGUAUUGGAAAGGAAUCUGCAUUUCGAUUCCAACUGUAAGAGUGCAGUUUCAAUCUAUGGGCAGGAAUUGGAAACCUUUUCAGUUAAAUCUGUGUUGAGCAGGCAGGUGGUGAUGGCUUAGUGGCAUUAUCAUUAGACUAAUCAUCUCGAGACCCAGGUAAUGACCUUGGUUUGAAUCCCAUCAUGGAAAAUGGUGGACUUUGAAUUAAAUAAAAAUCUGGAAUUAAAAGUCCGGUGGUGACCAUGAAACCAGUAUUGAUUUGACAUGAAAAGCCCAUCUGGUUCAUUUAAUGUCCUCCUCAGGACAGAACCUGCCAUCCUUGCCUGGACUGGCCUACAUCUGACUCCAGACCACAGCAAUAUGGUUGACUCUCUAAUUGCCCAUUCCUAACAGAUUUAUGUUAGCCUAGGUGUGAUGCCCACAUCCUGUGAAUGAAUAAUAAAUGUAUACUUUGGGUAUGCUAUCCUCUCUCUCCCUGCCUAUUGUUUUGUCUUGAACUUUUUUUGCCCAGUCCAUCAGAAAAAAAUGCAACUGAAGAGGGCUGAAGGAACAACUUGAACAAAGCUCUCCUGCAAGCAUUAUAAAGUCUACAAAUCUAUAACCAGUCCAAACUGGCCUUGGCUCAAAAUGAAUUACACCAAGAGUGAAGUCAUGUCCUUUAGGAACUGAGUUAGCAAAUGUCCCUUUCAUCUUCAGGUCAGAGUACCUAAAAGUGCUGAGGUAUGGUUUGGAGGGGCCAGGAUGUGCACUUAACACUGGAAGGAGCAUGUUAUUAUGGCCACUGUGGAAUUGACACACACUGUCCACAGUGCAUAUGAAUCUGGUAGUCAGGUGCAUGGUGCUCUCCAUUAUUCUACAUAGUGCAGGUCUAGCCCUUGCAUCACUUGAACCCUUAAACAGAUACCAAGACACAGCUUGGCUGGUAAUAAAGGCUCUCUCUUUCACGUUUAUUGAUCAUCUUUCCUAAGAAAGGAUGCAGAUGUAUUAGAGGUAGUUCAGAGAAGGUUUACUAGACUAAUACUUUAAAUAGAUGCUUGUCUUCUGAGGAAAGUUUGGACAGACUAGACUUGUGGAGCUGUUGGAGUUUAGAAGAGUAAAUGACUUAAUGGAAACAGAAGAUCCUGAAAUUUUGAUGGGCUGGAUGUGGGAAGGAUGUUUCUUUUGGGAGAAUCCAGAACUAGGAAUCAUUCUUUUUUUCAGAAAAGCAGGGGCUGCCAAAUGGAAAUAUAUCAAGCAUUUUUUUGUUCCCUGGGUUUGAGUUUUUAGAACCUACUUCCUGAAAAGUUAGUAGAAGCAAAUUCCUUCAGUAUUUCUAAGACAUUCUGGUUUCUAUAGCAUUCUGAAUAACCUUGUUAAACAAUUUAGUGGAAGCAGAGACCUUAAAAAUAUUCAAGGCAGUAAGGAAGUGACUGCUGCCUACCUCCUUUGGGAAUCUACCCCUUCAGAACAAGUCUAGAAAUGUAUGCUUUUUUUUUUCUCUUUUUGCCAAAGUUCAUCUGGAGCAAUUGUAAAAGUGCUAUUCCCAGAUCUGCAUAUCUGAUCUAAGUAUCAGCUGCUGUCGGAUGACCAUCCAAGUUAGUGCAGUGUGUUCUGUGGUUAGCUCAAAAGUCAGUAAUCUUCUAGUUCAAAGAGCUUUUCAAUAAUAGUGUUAUAAGUACAUAUAUUCCAAGGCUUUGGCAUAAACUUGGCAAAACUAUGGCAAAGACACAGUGCAAUUGCCUUGAUGAAGGCCCUUGAGCCAUAGCAUGACUUCUUCAGAAGUCUAGGCCCGAAACGUCAGCCAUCCUGCUCCUCUGAUGCUGCUUGGCCUGCUGUGUUCAUCCAGCUCUACACCUUGUUAUCUCAGAUUCUCCAACAUCUACAGUUCCUACUAUCUCAUAAAUAUAAAUGUUUGUUUACGUAACAGGCUAUACAUAGUGUAGUGAGACACCUUGUACUGUGAAAACAAUGAUCUUGCACUUAAAGUAAUAUUAAAUUUGAAUGAUUAAUGCAAGUACUUAUACAAUUUUUAUGAAUAAAGUAUACUUUUUUUCAAAAGUGUUUUUGGAUGAAGAUACCCUGAGGAAUGAAGAAUGCUGCAUUAAUGACAAAAAACUGCCUGCCCUUGGAAUACAUUGCACCCCAUUUUGCAAUAUCACGCUAAGUCCACCAUCCUCUCAAUUAAAUCAUGCAUGAAUCAUUAGUAAUCAGUUUAAAUAAUUGAGGUCCACAGGCAGCCAAACCCUAUGUUCUAUCUUUCAUACAUAAAUUUGAUUUUCAACUUUGUGUAAAUGAUUAACUGUCAAACAAAAUAUUUUAAGAAUGGGUAGUGUUAUAAAUUUCGUGAUUUGUAGUUCUGCCACUUACAAAAAGAAAAUCAGAAAACACGACAGUGAGAUGAUUAAAGCUGUCAAAAGAUUGUAGAUAAGUGCCAUCUUGGUGUACUUGAAAAUCUGAUCACAACAUUAGAACUAUUGAACAAGCGUGGGCGGUGAAUUCUCCAUUUGAGUCUGGGCUGCUUUUUUUUUGUUCAUACUGGGUUUGAUAGUAGCAUGUAAAUAGUGGAGAUUUGGGUCAAUUAUUGUUAUACUAUGGCGAGGACAAUCCAAGGCCAUGCCUGGUAAUGUUAAAUUGUCACGGUAGUGAAUUAUCGUUUACAUGGUCAUAAUCAUUUAAAUCAUUAAUAAUUUGUAACAUAUUCAGUGUUCUCCAUCUAAGGAUAAAACGUAUACACUGGUUUAUAAAAUAUUCAUUUAUUAGAACUUCGCUCCUGGGUUUCUGUUUCUGAUUUUCCAAUAGUGUCGCAGGAUUGUUACGUUGAUGCACGAGAAAAUUAUAAUAAUAUUCGAUUUUACGCACAGUAAAGUCAAACAUUUGUGUUUCUUUCUAAACGACAAUAAAAAGUAAGAUUUAAUCCAUGUUGUGAUGUGUAUAAUAGGUAAAAAUGAGACUUAUGGUAUUUGAAAUUGUGGUAUAUUUACAGUUAUCAGUUACAGCUCCUACGCAGAAAUAAAAAGCUCGAA